Molecule: long non-coding RNA, 270 nt
Filed under: Cucumis sativus (cucumber)
Lineage: Eukaryota; Viridiplantae; Streptophyta; Magnoliopsida; Cucurbitales; Cucurbitaceae
Description: long non-coding RNA (CSAT_LNC000342)
Source: RNAcentral
GCAUUUUUAUAUUUUUCAGGGGUAUUUUUUGUUAUGGGUCUACUCGCUUUUUCCGUUUUCAAAAUUAUUCUAAGUACAAAUAUUUUUCCGGUUUAUUAUAUUUUUUUAAAAAAAACCCCUUUUACUUUUGUAUAACAAAAUAAUAAUAAUAAUAAUUUGUUAUUUUCACAUGAGAUCCCAAACUAAGUAGUUACCCAUAAAUUAGUAAAAUGACAAAAAAAUAAAUAAACAUUUUGAUAUUUUACUAUGUUUGUUGAUCAUUUUGCUAUU